This 654-nucleotide ribosomal RNA is filed under the name uncultured Bacillota bacterium. RNAcentral describes it as "bacterial SSU rRNA". It matches the Rfam family "Bacterial small subunit ribosomal RNA", at positions 28 to 651 of the family's 1533-position model. The record is from RNAcentral. Lineage: Bacteria; Bacillati; Bacillota.
GACGAACGCUGGCGGCGUGCCUAAUACAUGCAAGUCGAGCGAGCUGAAUUCAAAGAUUCCUUCGGGAUGAUUUGUUGGAUGCUAGCGGCGGAUGGGUGAGUAACACGUGGGCAAUCUGCCCUAAAGACUGGGAUACCACUUGGAAACAGGUGCUAAUACCGGAUAACAACAUGAAUCGCAUGAUUCAAGUUUGAAAGGCGGCGUAAGCUGUCACUUUAGGAUGAGCCCGCGGCGCAUUAGCUAGUUGGUGGGGUAAAGGUCUACCAAGGCAAUGAUGCGUAGCCGAGUUGAGAGACUGAUCGGCCACAUUGGGACUGAGACACGGCCCAAACUCCUACGGGAGGCAGCAGUAGGGAACCUUCCACAAUGGACGCAAGUCUGAUGGAGCAACGCCGCGUGAGUGAAGAAGGUUUUCGGAUCGUAAAGCUUUGUUGUUGGUGAAGAAGGAUAGAGGCAGUAACUGGUCUUUAUUUGACGGUAAUCAACCAGAAAGUCACGGCUAACUACGUGCCAGCAGCCGCGGUAAUACGUAGGUGGCAAGCGUUGUCCGGAUCUAUUGGGCGUAAAGCGAGCGCAGGCGGAAUGAUAAGUCUGAUGUGAAAGCCCACGGCUCAACCGUGGAACUGCAUCGGAAACUGUCAUUCUUGAGUGCAG